CACGUUAGAUUUCACUUCGAUUUAAAAUUUAUAUACCGCCAUCUUAAGAAUCAAUUUCAAAACAUUACUCUAAAUAAAUAAUAAAAAGUUAGGUCAAGGUAUAGUCUACAUUGAAGAAUGAGAUGAAUUACAUUAAAAAUCACUUAAAGAUUAUUAAUAAACAUAUUAAUUUAAAUAAGAAUUUAAAAGUACUACCUAAACAAUAAUUUUAUAUGAUAAAGAUAAUAAAUGUGCACACAUCGCCC
RNAcentral lists this ribosomal RNA (245 nucleotides) under Iwogumoa plancyi. RNAcentral's name for it is "partial 12S ribosomal RNA". The record is from RNAcentral. Lineage: Eukaryota; Metazoa; Arthropoda; Arachnida; Araneae; Agelenidae.